GCGCCAUUGGAUGAGCCGAAGUCGGAUUAGCUAGUUGGUGGGGUAAUGGCCUACCAAGGCGACGAUCCGUAGCUGGUCUGAGAGGACGACCAGCCACACUGGGACUGAGACACGGCCCAG
RNAcentral lists this ribosomal RNA (120 nucleotides) under uncultured bacterium. RNAcentral describes it as "partial 16S ribosomal RNA". It matches the Rfam family "Bacterial small subunit ribosomal RNA", at positions 215 to 334 of the family's 1533-position model. The record is from RNAcentral.